Molecule: long non-coding RNA, 411 nt
Organism: Fundulus heteroclitus (mummichog)
Lineage: Eukaryota; Metazoa; Chordata; Actinopteri; Cyprinodontiformes; Fundulidae
Exons: 2
Source: RefSeq, a predicted model, not a curated record
CGUACACCUCCAGGCUUUCCCCAGGAGCACGCGCCCGGGCUGUCAGGCUGGCUCUGAAGCGGUCCAUCAACUGCCUCUGUCCAAAAGCCGCCCCAAGUCUCUCCUUCACCAUAGUAAAAUCCGACUUGGUCGCCCCAGGGAGGCUGUCCCACAGCAGGAACGCGGACUUGCCGAGACGAGUAGGCAGAAUCCUCACUAACUCCUCCUCACAGUUGCCGCCGCUCCUGGCUGUGGCGCCGACGGCCACCUCCAGUUGUCUCGCCCAGCUGAGGAAACUCUGGCUUCCGUCCCCGGUGAAAGGAGGGGGGAGAUCAAUCUUAACAUCACCGCCCGCACCGCACGAGAUUAGCCAGCAAGCUAUAUCGGAGAUGCUAAGCUAUCCAACUGGCACGUAGCCGUCACGGACAAAAA